UCUAAUGUGGCAGAUUAGUGCGGUGGAUUUAAGCUCCAUUUAUAAAGUUAGCUUUUGUUAGAA
This 63-nucleotide transfer RNA is filed under the name Trypetoptera punctulata. RNAcentral's name for it is "tRNA-Leu". Lineage: Eukaryota; Metazoa; Arthropoda; Insecta; Diptera; Sciomyzidae. The record is from RNAcentral.